This 429-nucleotide long non-coding RNA is filed under the name Zostera marina. Its description in RNAcentral is "long non-coding RNA (ZMAR_LNC005232)". Lineage: Eukaryota; Viridiplantae; Streptophyta; Magnoliopsida; Alismatales; Zosteraceae. The record is from RNAcentral.
UUGAAUUUUUGAAAGAUUGUCGAUUUGCUGGUAAGUUUGUCGAUUUUCAAAGAAAGAGAUUAUAUGAGAUCUAAAUCUGAUUUUUUUUUGUGUUUUGUCGUAUUCAAUUUUUCACUCGAAAUACAGUUGUUUUCAACAGGCCGACAUGGUUCAAGGUUUUCCUCUCAAAUCUCCAGACAUGUGACAUGAAUCUAGGACGUCCGACAAUGAAGUUCAACGUUCUCAAUCUCUCCUGGUUCAUUAGUAUUCGCACAUCUAUCUUCAUGAUCUUUUUAUCCCUUUAUGUUACGAUGUUUUCUUUUACUAUUUUUCACCCAUUUAGACCUAGGAUUCUAUCGUUCGUUUGUGUUUUUGCUAGUCAUUUUUUGGAGCAUUUUAUUUGUCUACAAAACGUAAUUUCUUUCCGACAACAGUCUAUAUUAUCAAUAG